GGGUUGAUGAUGACUACCUCAAUUGUGGAAGAGAAGUGAUGAAUAAAAAAAUCAUAACCUGAGGAUUGAGCUGAGGCCC
Small nucleolar RNA from Nycticebus coucang (slow loris), 79 nucleotides. RefSeq annotates it as small nucleolar RNA SNORD115. Lineage: Eukaryota; Metazoa; Chordata; Mammalia; Primates; Lorisidae. The transcript has a single exon. The record is from RefSeq and is a predicted model, not a curated record.